GGGAGCUUGAGAGCAAUGGCCGAGAGCUAGGAGGGAGAGAAGGCAAGAUCGAGAGAGAGAUUAAGAGAGAGAUCGAGAGAGUGAGAGCAAGAGAGAGAUUGAGAGCGAGAGAGUGGGCGGCGGCCAUGGCCGCGAGUAACAAGCUCGAGCGGCCAUGGCAGUCGCGAUGAAGGUGAACCAACCGUGAUGAAAGCGAGGCAGCUUGAGAGCAAUGGCCGAGAGCUAGGAGGGAGAGAAGGCAAGAUCGAGAGAGAGAUUAAGAGAGAGAUCGAGAGAGUGAGAGCAAGAGAGAGAUUGAGAGCGAGAGAGUGGGCGGCGGCCAUGGCCGCGAGUAAUAAGCUCGAGCGGCCAUGGCAGUCGCGAUGAAGGUGAACCAACCGCGAUGAAAGCGAGGCAGCAAGGUGCGGCCAGCAGAGGCGAGUCUGUGAUGGCUAGCGAGGGCGCGAUGGUGGCGCGCGAAGGUGGCGGAGCAGCUGGAGGCCGAUCAUGGCCGGCUGGAGGCGACCAUGGCAGCACGCGGGAGCUACGAGCAGCAAGCAGGGGCGGCCGGAAGCGGCGCUCGGCAACGCGCAGGGCCGAGGCAGCAUCGCUGGUGGCUCGCGGUGGUGCUUGGAGGCAGCGGGGGUGGUCGCGGUGAGGUCGGAGGCGAUGCGUGCGGUUGGCAGCGGCUGGGCAUGGGCGUGGGAGUUGCAGGCAGCGCGCAGGGGAGGAAAGAAGAAGAAGAAGAAGAAGAAGAAGAAAAGAAAGAAGAAAGGAAAGAAAAAGAAAAAGAAGAAAAGAGAAGAGAAGAAGAGACUUGGCUGUGCGCGCAGGAGCAGGGGAGGAAAGAAGAAGAAGAAGGGAAGAAGAAGAAAGAGAAAGAAGAAAAGAAAAAGAGAAAAAAGAAAAAGGAAAUAAAGAAAAAGAAAAGAAGAAAAUAGAAGAAAAAUGAAAAAAAUUGGAGAAAAAUUCUGAAAAGAUUUUCGAAAAUUCUAAAAAUUAAUUUGGGGUUUGACGAGCGUGCUCGAGUUCAAGAAAUUUUUCGGGCAUGCAUUUUGAGAUUUGGGCACGCAUAUCGAGGAAAUCCAAGAGGCUAAAUCUAGGGUGCUUGAGGCUUAAGUUGAAGUAACUUGUAUAAAUUUUGAGGAGGGCACGCAAAUCGAGAUGAUGCACAUAUUUCGAGGCAAGGCACGAAUAUCAAGGUAGCUAAAUCGCUCCGCAGAAAGGGUACGCCAAGGUUCAUAAUUGAGUAUGAUUGGAAGUUCGACGCGAAUUUUGAGGCAGAAUUAUGUUAGAGGCAGAAUUAUUUUUUUGCAAGGUAAGUAGUACUUUCCAACUGGACUAAGUGUUAUGAUCUUAUCAUGUUGUCAUUACUUGUUAUGAGUAUGUCAUAUAGAUUGCAUUUACAUGUUUUGAUUUAUGAGAUAUGCAUAUGAGUAUAAUGAGAUUCACGGUCAUAUGUUGCAUGGGUUUAGGAUUAGGUAUUGGGUCUGUUACUUUGCCAAUGAUGCACCCAUACACCUCGGUCUGGCAGGAAGACUGAAAAAAUGACGGGUAAUCUUAAGGUGCAGUCGACCCAAACAUGAGAGUUAUGAUGUUAUGUGCAUUGCAUACAUACAUGAGCAUUAAAUGUUUUGUAUCCUUACUUAGAUGAUUCAUCAUCUAACCUGGGCUUUGCCCUUGGAAUAUUCAAACGUUCAAGAUGAAGAUAGUAGCAGAAACGAGGAUGAAUGAGGCAUGUAAUAGCACUUAGCAAAGUACAUGAUGAGUUAUAUAAUCAGUUGAACGUAUGUUUUGUUGCUCAUGUAUUUAAGUUUUGUUACUUCGAAUUCUAAACAUUUUAAGAAAUGAUGAUGUAGAACCCUAUUUAGGGUUAAUGUUAGUUGAGAACUUAUGUUAUGUAUUAAGUCAUGUUGAGAAAUUUAUGUUCCUAUGAUGUAAGAACUUAUGUAUGAUUAAUGUUAUGAUGUUAGGUUCGAUUCUACCUUCCGCAUUUAAUGUAUAUGAUGAUUAUCCUUGGAAAUAAAUGAAUGAAAAUUUUGGGAUGAAUAAGAGCAAUAAUAUGGUUUAGUCUUAGUUUUAGUAGUAUAAAAAAAAAAAAUUAUCCCAGAAUUGUUCUGAGUUAUAACGUGCUCGAAAAAAAACGGGGCGUUACAUAUUAACCCCCUAGUGUCCACAGUGCCAUCGGAGUCAACUUUUUCUACAAGAAAUAGGGUGCUUAACCCAAAGAGAUCGAGGUUGCAACAUACGACACUAGAAAUGUGUAUAUGUUUUAGGGAUUGGUUAGAUGUUGAAUUUGACAAA
This is an RNA transcript of Diospyros lotus (date-plum), 2283 nucleotides long. RefSeq lists it as uncharacterized. NCBI's taxonomy places the organism in Eukaryota, Viridiplantae, Streptophyta, Magnoliopsida, Ericales, Ebenaceae. The transcript is spliced from 3 exons. The record is from RefSeq and is a predicted model, not a curated record.